This 73-nucleotide transfer RNA is filed under the name Planctomycetota bacterium. RNAcentral describes it as "Planctomycetes bacterium (groundwater metagenome) tRNA-Lys". It matches the Rfam family "tRNA". From Rfam's summary of the family: Transfer RNA (tRNA) molecules are approximately 80 nucleotides in length. The record is from RNAcentral. Lineage: Bacteria; Pseudomonadati; Planctomycetota.
GGGCGAUUAGCUCAGUUGGUAGAGCAGCUGAUUCUUAAUCAGCGGGUCACAGGUUCGAGUCCUGUAUCGCCCA